AGAGUUUGAUCCUGGCUCAGAACGAACGCUGGCGSGCGUGGAUAAGACAUGCAAGUCGAACGCUAGUUUCAGGGUAGUAAUAUCUUGAGAUUGGAGUGGCGCAAGGGUGUGUAACACGUGGGUAAUUUGCCGUGAAGUUGGGAAUAACUCGCUGAAAGGCGAGCUAAUGCCAAAUGUGAUGAUUGGGAGGCAUCUCUUGACCAUCAAAGUUGGGGACCGCAAGGCCUGACGCUUCACGAUAAGCCCGCGGCCUAUCAGGUAGUUGGUGAGGUAACGGCCCACCAAGCCUAAGACGGGUAGCUGGUCUGAGAGGACGACCAGCCACACUGGAACUGAGACACGGUCCAGACACCUACGGGUGGCAGCAGUCGAGAAUUUUUCUCAAU
RNAcentral lists this ribosomal RNA (386 nucleotides) under uncultured bacterium SY4-22. RNAcentral describes it as "bacterial SSU rRNA". It matches the Rfam family "Bacterial small subunit ribosomal RNA", at positions 8 to 372 of the family's 1533-position model. The record is from RNAcentral. Lineage: Bacteria; Pseudomonadati; Verrucomicrobiota; Verrucomicrobiia; Verrucomicrobiales; Verrucomicrobiaceae.